RNAcentral lists this ribosomal RNA (253 nucleotides) under uncultured bacterium. RNAcentral describes it as "partial 16S ribosomal RNA". It matches the Rfam family "Bacterial small subunit ribosomal RNA", at positions 524 to 776 of the family's 1533-position model. The record is from RNAcentral.
UACAGAGGUGGCAAGCGUUGUUCGGAAUUACUGGGCGUAAAGGGCGCGUAGGCGGUCAGGUCAGUCCCGUGUGAAAUCCCUCGGCUCAACUGAGGAACUGCACGGGAAACUGCCUGGCUUGAGUUCGGGAGAGGGAAGCGGAAUUCCGGGUGUAGCGGUGAAAUGCGUAGAUAUUGGGAGGAACACCAGUGGCGAAGGCGACUCGCUGGACCGGUUCUGACGCUGAGGCGCGAAAGCGUGGGGAGCAAACAGG